RNAcentral lists this transfer RNA (72 nucleotides) under Camelus bactrianus (Bactrian camel). It matches the Rfam family "tRNA". From Rfam's summary of the family: Transfer RNA (tRNA) molecules are approximately 80 nucleotides in length. Their secondary structure includes four short double-helical elements and three loops (D, anti-codon, and T loops). The record is from Rfam by way of RNAcentral. RNAcentral also lists the same sequence under 1 other name. Lineage: Eukaryota; Metazoa; Chordata; Mammalia; Artiodactyla; Camelidae.
GAGGGUAUAGCUCAGUGGUAGAGUGCAUGCUUAGAAUGCACGAGGUCCUGGGUUCAAUCCCCCAUACCUCCG